This 484-nucleotide ribosomal RNA is filed under the name uncultured bacterium. RNAcentral describes it as "partial 16S ribosomal RNA". It matches the Rfam family "Bacterial small subunit ribosomal RNA", at positions 28 to 507 of the family's 1533-position model. The record is from RNAcentral.
AUUGAACGCUGGCGGCAUGCUUUACACAUGCAAGUCGAACGGCAGCGCGGGCUUCGGCCUGGCGGCGAGUGGCGAACGGGUGAGUAAUGCAUCGGAACGUGCCCAGUAGUGGGGGAUAGCCCGGCAAAAGCCGGAUUAAUACCGCAUGCGACCUGAGGGUGAAAGCGGGGGACCGAAAGGCCUCGCGCUAUUGGAGCGGCCGAUGUCGGAUUAGCUAGUUGGUGGGGUAAAGGCUUACCAAGGCGACGAUCCGUAGCUGGUCUGAGAGGACGACCAGCCACACUGGGACUGAGACACGGCCCAGACUCCUACGGGAGGCAGCAGUGGGGAAUUUUGGACAAUGGGGGCAACCCUGAUCCAGCCAUGCCGCGUGCGGGAAGAAGGCCUUCGGGUUGUAAACCGCUUUUGUUCGGGAAGAAAUCCUCUGGGCUAAUACCCCGGGGGGAUGACGGUACCGGAAGAAUAAGCACCGGCUAACUACGUG